CCCUUAGAUGUUCUGGGCCGCACGCGCGCUACACUGAUGCAUUCAACGAGUCUAAAACCUGCUCUGAUAGGGGUGGGUAAUCUUUUGAAUGUGCAUCGUGAUUGGGAUAGAUGAUUGCAAUUUUUCAUCUUCAACGAGGAAUGCCUAGUAAACGCAAGUCAUCAGCUUGCAUUGAUUACGUCCCUGCCCUUUGUACACACCGCCCGUCGCUCCUACCGAUUGAAUGAUCCGAUGAAUAUCAUGGAUUGAGGAUGCAAGCAGGUUCGCCUGUCUUUAUCUUCGAGAAGUGAAGUAAAUCUUAUCAUUUAGAGGAAGGAGAAGUCGUAACA
RNAcentral lists this ribosomal RNA (329 nucleotides) under uncultured eukaryote. RNAcentral describes it as "partial 18S ribosomal RNA". It matches the Rfam family "Eukaryotic small subunit ribosomal RNA", at positions 1470 to 1796 of the family's 1831-position model. The record is from RNAcentral.